Molecule: long non-coding RNA, 385 nt
Organism: Lynx canadensis (Canada lynx)
Lineage: Eukaryota; Metazoa; Chordata; Mammalia; Carnivora; Felidae
Exons: 3
Source: RefSeq, a predicted model, not a curated record
CCCCCACCCCCCGAAGUAACACCAAUAGCGAGCUUUCUGAAACGGAUGAAAGUCUGAUCCUUACCGAGGCUGUAAGAGAAGCUAGUUUACCAAAAUUUCUCCCUGGAGAUGUCCCACUUUUUGAAAAGAUCAUGGCAGACAUUUGUCCUGGAGCUGCAGUUUCGACAGAAAAUCAAGUUGCCUUGGAGAAAGUAGUAUCUAUUGCAACACAACAGUUGGGUUUCCAUCAGUGGCCAGCUCAGAACGAGAAAACCAUACAGUUUUAUAAUCAACUUCAGACUCGUGUUGGUGUGAUGUUGGUAGGCCCAACAGGUGGAGGAAAGACAACAGUCAGAAGAAUUUUAGAAAGAGCAUUAACACUAUUACCAAUUGAAGACUUCCUAUC